AGUGAACGCUGGCGGCGUGCUUAACACAUGCAAGUCGAACGAGAACGGAAUAUAGCUUGCUAUAUUUGUCAGCUAAGUGGCGCACGGGUGAGUAAUGUAUAGAUAACCUGCCCUUAAGAAAGGAAUAACAGUGGGAAACGACUGCUAAUGCCCUAUAUGCAUUUAAUACAUAAGUAUGCAAGGGAAACGCUUUAGUGCUUAAGGAUGGGUCUGUAUGGUAUCAGCUUGUUGGUGAGGUAAUGGCUCACCAAGGCUAUGACGCCUAACUGGUUUGAGAGGAUGAUCAGUCACACUGGAACUGAGACACGGUCCAGACCCCUACGGGAGGCAGCAGUGGGGAAUAUUGCACAAUGGACGAAAGUCUGAUGCAGCAACGCCGCGUGGAGGAUGACACAUUUCGGUGCGUAAACUCCUUUUAUAUAGGAAGAUAAUGACGGUACUAUAUGAAUAAGCACCGGCUAACUCCGUGCCAGCCGCCGCCGUAA
RNAcentral lists this ribosomal RNA (485 nucleotides) under uncultured bacterium. Its description in RNAcentral is "partial 16S ribosomal RNA". It matches the Rfam family "Bacterial small subunit ribosomal RNA", at positions 29 to 523 of the family's 1533-position model. The record is from RNAcentral.